RNAcentral lists this ribosomal RNA (506 nucleotides) under uncultured bacterium. RNAcentral's name for it is "partial 16S ribosomal RNA". It matches the Rfam family "Bacterial small subunit ribosomal RNA", at positions 29 to 523 of the family's 1533-position model. The record is from RNAcentral.
AGUGAACGCUGGCGGUGGGCCUAACACAUGCAAGUCGAACGGCAGCACAGAGGAGCUUGCUCCUUGGGUGGCGAGUGGCGGACGGGUGAGGAAUACAUCGGAAUCUACUCUGUCGUGGGGGAUAACGUAGGGAAACUUACGCUAAUACCGCAUACGACCUACGGGUGAAAGCAGGGGAUCUUCGGACCUUGCGCGAGUGAAUGAGCCGAUGCCGGAUUAGCUAGUUGGCGGGGUAAAGGCCCACCAAGGUGACGAUCCGUAGCUGGUCUGAGAGGAUGAUCAGCCACACUGGAACUGAGACACGGUCCAGACUCCUACGGGAGGCAGCAGUGGGGAAUAUUGGACAAUGGGCGCAAGCCUGAUCCAGCCAUACCGCGUGGGUGAAGAAGGCCUUCGGGUUGUAAAGCCCUUUUGUUGGGAAAGAAAUCCAUCUGGUUAAUACCCGGGUGGGAUGACGGUACCCAAAGAAUAAGCACCGGCUAACUUCGUGCCAGCCGCCGCGGUAA